GUCAAAUGCUGCUCAGAUGUCAAGUAAAUGAAGUCUGAAAAAUUCCUGUUGAAUUUUGUGAUAGUUUUAAGUGGGCCAUUGGGAAGGGAAACUGGAAUUAUGUGGAAUGCAUGAAAUAGUUUGAACUCUUUAAAAGCUUAGCUCUGAGGCAGUUGAAGAGAGAGGGUCCUCCCAGUCAACUUUGUAGUGUGGAUGUUUUGUUGUGUCUUUAGUGAAAAUGAUCCUGGCAUGAUUAAAAAACACUGGGAAACAUCCAUUUGAAGAGAUUGACAAUGCUAGAGGGAAGGAAUAAUCUAUAGAAAGGGUUCUAGGAAGGCAGAAAAGGAUGGGUUCCCAAAACACAAUUAGGAGACUAACCUGAAAUACGUGUAGGGGUAUUUCUUAUAACUUUAUUAAUAGAGGAUGAGGAUGCAUGUAAAUUUGUAUUUGUGGUAAUAAAAAUGAUGGUUCCCAUCUGAUAUUUAUUUUCUCCAUGAAAUUGAAAAAAAGAGGAAGAAGGUCAAAUGUUUCAGGAAAGCACAUGAAGGUUUAAAAUAUUCGUAGAGUGUAUUGAUUAAGAAAGUACAGUAGAGUUGCUAGGAAGUGUAGAGGCCAGUCAAGGUUAGCCCUGGGGGAUUUAUCGUAGAAUCUCAAGUAUUUCCUGCCUACUGGAGUGCUGUGAGAAAAGACUCAGAAUGUUGCUUUCAUCCAGGAUUAACUAGAGGGAGUUUAAGGUAUUGGCAAGUGUAGAUCAUGUACCCAAACUGGAUAAAAGGAAAAUUAAAAGGCCUAACCAUUUGAGAGAUGGUGAAAGGGGUCAGUGAACUUGGUGGUUUCAGUGAAGUCACAGACCGUUGUGGUGGAUGAAGUUGAAUAAGCAAGCUGAUGGAAGUUGUGAUCUCAUUGUGGAGUAUUUGAAUUAAUGAUUUUAGAAAUGGAGUAGUUAUUAGUGAUGACAAGGGCUACAGUGUGACCAUGGAAUUGUGGGUGGCUGCGAUGGAAACGAUUAGGUCAUUAGAAAAGAGGAAGUCAAGAAGUGAGGAUGUAGUAUCAGAUGGGUUAUUCAAGUAGACAUCUGCCUCACCCAGAAUGAUGGCAAAACUUAGGAUGGAGAGAAAUUGUAAAUUGGUUGCCAAUAUCUUCAGUGGAUAAAGUAUGAGUGAUACUAAUAAGAGAUAAGAGAAGCUGUUAAGGCUAAAUCCAAGAGCCUUGAAGAAACAGGACGAGGUUGAUAAUACUAUUUUGGUGAGAAGAAUUUGAGGGCUUGUGUGUGCCAGGCACUCUUGCAAGACACAGAAAACACUGUGUAAAUACUGCAAGGCCCUGUCCUCUGAGAGGACGUCAGACUGUAGAAGAAGGCAGCCACAUGUGCAGUUAGUGACAGUACAGUGAGAUCCUACCUUCAAAGUAUAGUGGGAACCUCAAGGAAGAACAGGUUAUGUUUAGCUAAAGAAAUCAUUGAAGGUUUCACUGGAGAGAUUAUAUCUGAACUGAAGUUUGUAUAGUUCCUCAAGUGGAGAAGGAGAAGGACAUUACAGGAAGAAUUAUAAGAUGUAUGACUCCUAACAAUGACAGACGAAUAUAAACUCAAAAUGAUAGCAUCCCUUCUCAUAGUAAGCACUAUCGUAAUAUGGAGUUCUUUAUCAUUAUAACAUCUCUAUCUCUUUGGCCAUAGUUCUAUUUUUUUGUUCUAGAGUUCAACAUUGUUCUCUAAUGGGAUGAUUGAAAGCAUGUAUCUGGUGUGUGUAUGUCCUUAUGUUUUUGGUAUUUCUUUUAAACUUAUGCUUGAAAUAAUAUAGUACCAAAGAUAAAUGUGGAGGUGCUCUAUAAAUAAAUAGAAUACAGUUCUUUGACAUAUUUUCUAUUGUUGUUACAAAUACUCCUUCAGGAAAUUAAAUGGCUCCCAUUAUGGGUGAAGUUCUGAUUUAAACCACAAGGACACAAAGAUGAACAUGAUGGUCUCCGACCUCAGGGAACUCAUCGUUUAUUAUGAUCCAGGAACAGGAUGUACUGGUGAUAUCAAUAUACUAACCACAGGGAAUGCUGUGACCUUUUUAAAAAUCACAACUUAUUUCUCUUAAAUCCUCAGACAUGUUUUUAGAAUGUUGAUUCAUUCCUUUGCUGUUUAUGGAAGAGGUUUGAUUUCAUCAAACUGAGUAUAGUUAAACAAAAAUUUGGUUCAAUUGGUAAUCUAUAAUAAGACUCAAAACAAAGUAUGUUUCUUCUUGAAUUAAGAGCCUCCCUAAUUUUGGCUUUAUUCCUCACGGGUUGUGAAGAUGAGAAAAGAAGUGAAGAGAAUCCGAGUUUUUAUCUGAAAACUUGUCAGGAGUGUGAGCAGACUGGAGUCCAAAAAGGGUACUGAAGAUGCACUGUUAAAAAGCCAGAGAUGAGCACGACGAUUGCUUGAAGAAAUCCCUGCCAUGAAGAACUAAGGUAAGCAGUUCAAGAACCCACAGAGCAGUAAAGACAAAGUUGCAUGAUGCUGAGUGGAGAGCCAGAAGCCAGCUGGAGCAAGAGGUGGUCGUGAGGACAAGAAGAGAGGAGGUCGGACUUUCAGCAGGAGGAUCAUCUCCUCACAUAUCUCAUUAAACAGCCAGCCAUCAAGAGGAUGCCUCGGUCAGGAUAUCAUUUAUAGUAAAAAGCAGCCCACAGACAAAGAAGGUGUGAAAUCCUUAGUUCUCCUAUGAAAGUGAAGUCCUUCUCUUUUUCUGGAUCAUCUCCUCACAUAUAUCACUAAACAGCCAGCCAUCAAGAGGAUGCCUCGGUCAGGACGUCAUCUCACUAAGUACUGCAUCUGCAGACUCACUGAGCAACAGCUAGAGUGAAGGGACAGGUCUAUCUACUUCUGUUCAGUUCAUAUUUCUUGGGUAUCUAUGCUUCCUGUGUCCUUAGGGCCCAAGUGUCUUGGGAUAGGAAAGGGAGCUCUUCCCAAGUGUUGACAGGCCAGUUUUCCUGUCUUAACUCUUCUGUGUCUAUUUCCCGUUCCCUUUCACCCUCAGAGUGUAUCUGAGUCUUACCUAUCCAAGGAAGUGAGUAUAAGAGUAGUGGGUCUGAGACUCGGUGGGAAGUGUGUGUGAUCAUACAGGACUGUGCAGAUACAUCGUUCUUGAUUUGGCUUCACACUCUCAUCCGCUACCUUAAAGGGGGUUACCCCGAGAGAGUUGGCCUGCAGCAGGGCCCGUCAGGACUGGAGGCUCUCACGGAUGUUCUGCCACGUCACUUAAGGACUGCAGCGGUAAGAGGUGACAGAUCGUUGCAGGUAAACUCUUUGCUAAGUUGUUUCCGCUUUGGGGUAUUGGUACCUCCCAGCCGAACAGCCUAGAAAAAAGGGAACUUGGCCUCUGGAGCUAUCUUCCUGUCUGUUCCCUUUGCCUACUUUUCACUCUACUUCCCUCAGCCCAGGAAAAUCCUAUUUUAGGCAGAGUGGAAGAAAUGAUGGCUCCCUGACCCCUGUCUCUUCCACGCAUUUUGUCUAUACAUCAUUCCCCAAGCCCUGUAGGCCCACAGACACAGUGCUCAUUGGCUGUUUCUACGUUCUGACCAGGGCAUCCCUUUCCUGAGGCAAUGAGCUCAGUUGUGCCCAUAUACUUGGGAAAGGGGAAAUACCAGCAGAAAAAUGUGCCAAAAUAAUCAUACCAGCCCAUAAACACAGAGUUCUUUAUUUUUGUAGCAACAGAAUUAGAAAAUUAGGUAGGUUCUUAGAUAUUUACAUGAAAGGGUUCCAAAUUUAAGAUACUAUAGUUGUAGUAAUGUUACUCUAGGCCAUUGGUUUGUGCUGCCAGGAAGGAAGGGGAAAGCCCUGGGAGGCUUUUGAGGCAGACAGCAGCAGUGGGUCAGACAUCAAGAGAAAGGGCUAUGGCCCCGCUUGGUUUGAGAGUGCUUGGCAAGAUUCUUAAGAAAUAACAGUGAUUAAAACUGAAAACUUUCAUCUGCUGCCUAACUGUGGACUCUGCCUCCUCUCUCAAAACCUCAAGCCAUUACCUGGAGGUUUUCUCUUCUCUGCCAUUCAGUUUCCAUUCGAUUUCUCUUCUGACUGUGCCUUCUCAGGAUGUCUCCAUCCUCGGUGCCUCUCUCUCUCCUUCCUCGGGGUCACGACCAUCAUGUAUCAUGGUAGCCUGUGGAAUUUCAGGCGGCCUCAUUUUCAGUGAGCAUUUAUCAGCGUGAGGUGUUCAGAGCCCCAUGAUAAGGUUUCAUAUAUCGUAAACCUCAAGGGGCUAGAGAUGGAGGAUGCAUAAUCCAGCACAGCAUGUCCCAAAUGGCCUCUAUAUUAUUGCUGCAGGAGUUUGAGAAGGGCAUGAAGCAGAACUCUCAGCUGCUGAGUCAAAAAGGUAUGCAUUUGUGACACUUGAAUUGCAGCUGUUUUUUGGAACUCCACCUAAAAAUAGCACAAGCUCAAUCUGCAGAAAUUCUGACUGAGUUUCAAGUCAGAAUUCGAAACUGAGUGGAUAUGCCUGAAUCAAGAAAGAUGAGUUAUUCUUAGACUUUUAUAAGCAACUGAGAAGGAAGUCUCUAGCUCAACAACUGUCAGCAAUUAAGUCAAAUAAUAUCUAUCUCCAAGAUACAUGCGUUGAAGAUUAAGCGAGCCUGUAUUGCUGAAAGAACACUGAUUGCCAUUCUGAUACUUGCUGGGAUUAUUCAUCAUUACUGUAUAUUCAAGAUAUAGCAGGUGUCUUCACAUUUUGGUCUGGCUACUAAUUCCAGAGAGAGGUCUUUCCUGACAAACUGAUCACUCUGGUAUUUAAAUCAGAUUCUGAAACCUCAGAAUACCAAAGCACCCAAUUUAAAAUGCUAUUUAAGAUGACUGUCCUAUCUUUUAUGUUGGAUUUUUGAAAAUAAUUCAAUCAGAGAAGUAUUUUGAUGUUGCAAAUACCUACACAUCAGCUCAUCUACUUUAAAAUUAAUCAAAAUAUUAAGGCAUCUUCACAGAAAUUUCUCAUAUUCAUACAACAAGGCAAUAGUUAUUUACUUCCUGGUACUCUAAUAUGUUUUGGUAAAUCUCUACAUGACUUGUAUAAAAGCAAUAAAAGCUAGUUUCAUGGUACUCCAUUGUCAGAAUAAUGAAUGCUUUAAAAAUACGUUGAUACAAAGCCUGUCCAAUUCUUUCCCUUGGGUUCUGAAGAAUGUGCACUUGUGGGUCUUAGAAGGAAGGAAACUUCCUGUACCUUCUUUGGAGCUGGGCUUCUAGCUAGUGGGAGCAGAGAAUGGCUAAACUGUUAAAAGUUUAACAGCCAGCAUCUCUCAGCAUCUCUCAAAGGUACUUAGGGAACUAGUUGCUGAAACUGAGUAGCAUCCAGACAGCACCCCAGAGAGAGUACACUGGAGCUUAUCAUCCCACACGAUUACAUAUUCAAAUCGGUUUGAAUUCCCUGGGCACCCAUGGGGAUGUCAUGUGAGGUAGUAAAGAAGCAUGCUGUGUAGGGUCAGAAGCACUGGAGGAACCUGGUCUAACAUUAAAAAUGUGGUACAGAUAUUUCCCUAAGGUGAAAAAGUCCCACAACCAUGAAAAUUCAGACAUCCAGGAAAGAGCUGUAAAUGUAAAAAUGAGGUUGAAUUUCCAAGUGACAUGUGAUAAUCUUUUUCAGUACGUUAAGAAUUCUACCUUGCCUUUGCAAGGAUUUCUUUUUCUUGAAUGCUUCAUAUACAGCUCUUUAAGAUGCUCCUACUGCAGCCAGGUAAAUUAACACAUACCUACCCUGCCCUCUAGACUAGAAAACCCCAGGUAUUAUGAGUAAAUGUCUGUGACAUUUUGGUUAAUUGGAGCUGGUGUUGGGGGAACUUUUGAGCAUUAGUGGCUACAGGCAUAACCUUUGCUUAUUUUCACUAAUGUGGUUUGAGAGGGUUCAGGGUUGUGUUGGAAAGUGUGGGCAGCGGCAGGGGAAUUUGGAAAACACAUGAAGUUUACUAGCUUUGUAUGUUUGUGACCUUUCAAUGGUGAAAUAUAAGAACUUUGCAAAAUCAUGUUUCAGUGAUACAAUAAAUAGAAUAUCAGCAUAUAGGUGAUAAAGAAUACAAUCUGUUUGUAACACAUUGUAGGGUUAAAACUCCUUAUCAGGUUUGCUGCUGUUUCACCUGGGAAUAUCCAAGCAAACCCAACUGAGAUGUGCAUGGGAGGAUAAACCACAGGAGGAGGGAGCUGGAUUAGAAGGAGGUGGGACCUGGAGAAUCAAAUGGAGGCGAGGAAUUUGGACUCAGCCCAGAGAGAUCUAGAAGGUACAACAGACUGCAGGUGAUGGACUGCAAUAGGCAGUCUCAUUGUUAUGGAAAAUACUGGAAAACCUGGACUGGAUCGCUGAUGGAAGAACCAAGCGGCACUCGAAGGUCUUGGAGUGUUGAGGUUUUAUUUCACACCGGUGGGCUCAGAGAGGAGUAACCUCCCAAGGCCUGAUUCCUGAGCACAAGCAAAGGGAGUAAUUUAUAUUAUUUUUAUAUGUGGCAUUUUGGCAUGCGCAGGGCAAAGCAGGAGCCUGGAGGAAGGGAGGAGGGAGCUGGGGGGCUCUGCCAACCAGGGGCAAAAGCGGUUUGCUGACCUUGACGGCUGUGUUGAGUGUUUUCCUUACCAUCAGGAGAACCAUCUCCUCAGUUGCUGUGAGAUGCUGGCGCUGCCCCACAGAAACAUCUCAUUAAAAAUUUUCUAGUUAUCUACAUUCUAAAAAAAUAAAAAGAAACAGGUAAAAUAAGUUUUAUUUUAUAUUUUAAAAUUCUGAAAUUAUAUUGAACCCAGUAUAUCCAAAAUAUUAUCCUGUCAAAAAUGUACCCAUAACGCCCAGCAGCCACACGUGACUACAGACAGCACUGAGAUCAGUGGGUCUGUCACCACUUGGGUGUCUUCCAGGCCAGAGGAAGGCUCGACUCAUGAGGACUGAUGGAGACCGGUAUGUUAGCUGGUGAUUCACAAAAGAGAAUUAUAUAUGUUAGAAAUCCAUUAGAAAACUGCUACCUCAUUUGUAAUCAAAGUUAUAAAAAAUUAAAAUAUGAGUAAGAUGCUAUUUCUCACCUGUCAAAAGGGCCACUUUUAAAAAGUAGCAGCUGGUUGGAGAUGUGCUAAAAUUCAUAUAUUGCUGUAAGUGUAAAUUGGUAUAACUCAUUUGGAAAGCAGUUUUACAUUUCAUGUUAAGAGCUUUGAAUUGUUUUUUCCAACUUCUAAGACUCUAUAAUGGAAAACAAUAAAAACAAUUAUUGAGUUUUAUUAUAUAACAGCAUACUUAGCACUUCAUAUGUUUUAAGUCUUUUAGUCUUUACAACUCUAUGAACUAGUUAUUAUCCAAUUUUAAUCCUAUAAAAAUAACCCAAAAUUUGGGAAAAAUUAUGUGUCUAUGUUAUUAUAGUAUUGUUAAAAGAAGAAAAAAUACAAACAAAAAACUAGGAAAAAACCUAAAUGUCUCAAAUCAAGGAAUGGUUUCUUAAGUGAAACUACUCAAUGGAAUUGAUGUAUUUACUAAAGUGUUCUUUAAGAAUAUACAAUGCCAUGGAAAAAAUGCAUGUGUUAGUCUGCUGUCAUUCAACAAAGCUGCAUAACAAACAGGUACUAAAUCUGGGUGGCAUACAACAGUAAGCAUUUAUUUCUCAUGCACAUAUUUGCAGGUCAGUUGGGGUAUGGCUCGGCUCUUGGCUCCAGGUAAGCUGACUUUGGUUUUAGCUUCAUUUAUGAUGCACUGUAUUCAUUUUGGAGCCCAGGUUGAAGGGGCAUCUGCUAUCAGGGGGAAGCUCUUCUCAUGGCAGAUUCCUGGAGUGAAAGACAGCAAGAGAGCAAGAAGGCAUGAGUGACUGCACAGCACAUCUAAGUAUCUACUUGCUUCAUGUCUACUAACUUAUUGGUCAAAGGAAGCCAUACGGUGAAGUCUAAAGUUGAGGAGUUGGGAGCUAUCCUCUGCCUGCCACGAGAAUGUGCAAGAAUGUGUAUGUAUAAUUCUAUUACAAGAGAAUAAAGAUUUGGAACCAAUAA
Manis pentadactyla (Chinese pangolin) is the source of this 7921-nucleotide long non-coding RNA. RefSeq lists it as uncharacterized. The transcript is spliced from 5 exons. NCBI's taxonomy places the organism in Eukaryota, Metazoa, Chordata, Mammalia, Pholidota, Manidae. The record is from RefSeq and is a predicted model, not a curated record.